Molecule: small nuclear RNA, 107 nt
Organism: Loxodonta africana (African savanna elephant)
Lineage: Eukaryota; Metazoa; Chordata; Mammalia; Proboscidea; Elephantidae
Source: Ensembl
GUGCUCGCUUCGGCAGCACAUAUACUAAAAUUGGAACAAUACAGAGAAGAUUAGCACAGCCCCUGCACAAGGAUGACACACAAAUUCAUGAAGUGUUCCAUAUUUUU